This 552-nucleotide ribosomal RNA is filed under the name Urolophus cruciatus (crossback stingaree). Its description in RNAcentral is "partial 16S ribosomal RNA". It matches the Rfam family "Bacterial large subunit ribosomal RNA", at positions 1816 to 2565 of the family's 2925-position model. The record is from RNAcentral. Lineage: Eukaryota; Metazoa; Chordata; Chondrichthyes; Myliobatiformes; Urolophidae.
UCGCCUCUUGCCAAUAUUAUGUAUAAGAGGUCCCGCCUGCCCUGUGAAUAUUUAACGGCCGCGGUAUCCUGACCGUGCGAAGGUAGCGUAAUCAAUUGUCUUUUAAUUAAAGACCCGUAUGAACGGCACCACGAGAGUUUAUCUGUCUCUAUUUUCCAAUCAAUGAAAUUGAUCCUCUCGUGCAGAAGCGAGAAUACAAACAUAAGACGAGAAGACCCUAUGAAGCUUUAAACACUCAAGUUAUUUUUAAAAUGAUAAAUCCACCCCCGGGUAUAAAUAAACUAAAUUUUUAACUUGACUUGUUUUUGGUUGGGGCGACCAAGGGGUAAAACAAAACCCCCUUACCGAACGAGUAAUUUAUUACUUAAAAACUAGAACCACCAUUCUAACGAAUAGAAAAAUCUAACGAACAAUGACCCAAGAACUAAAUUCUUGAUCAAUGAACCAAGUUACUCUAGGGAUAACAGCGCAAUCCUUUCCCAGAGCCCUAAUCACCGAAAGGGUUUACGACCUCGAUGUUGGAUCAGGACAUCCUAAUGGUGCAGCCGCUAU